Molecule: long non-coding RNA, 5915 nt
Organism: Zeugodacus cucurbitae (melon fly)
Lineage: Eukaryota; Metazoa; Arthropoda; Insecta; Diptera; Tephritidae
Exons: 4
Source: RefSeq, a predicted model, not a curated record
AUGCACAUCUGCUCAUACAACAUUUUUUGAGAGACACACAGGUACACACACAAAGGAUAUAUUGAGAUUAAUAUAGAUUUAUUUGUGUAACGAAAAUGUCGCUCUAAACCAUGUGAAAAUUGGUAAAAAUCACGACAUUUCGUUGAAUAAGUACAGAAUGCCAAUUGUUUGAUUUCAUCCGAACUUUGGUUCUCCCUUACAUGUUUUAUUUUAUUCUUCUAUAUACGUAUGUAUGUAUGUUCGUAUGUCGAAUCAACCUUUGUCUUUAUGUUUUGCAUUUCCAUAUCUAUAUUGAAAAAGCAACUGUCAAACGGAAGGUGAAGACCAAAAAUGUCGUGCUUGCACUAAUAGAGUAUACUCAUUGAAUUUCAAUAUUAACUCAUCACUACGUGCCCGUCUAUCCCAGAACGAAAUUGAUAAAUGAAAAGUCAUUAUAUCAGUGUGAGGUGCACAAAAAUAUAAAAUUAUAUUUCGUUCAGUGCCACAGUCUCAGAUAUAGUAUGACUGUAAUAAAGCGUCUACGAAAUUAAACAACUAAAUUUAUGUUAAAUAAUCGGAGCGUUUUAGACUUACUUAGGCUUCUUAAAUGUAGCCGAGUAAGCUUGGACAUUUCAACCACUGAAACGUCAGAAUUAUUAGAAUAAAAACCAAGUGCUGAUGUUUCUCUUUGCGAAUUUUGUAGAUAUUCUUAGCAAAUUUAUCAACUUAUUAAAAUUAUAAUUGAUUGACAUCGGCUCCAUUAGUCCCAGCACUCUGAAUAAUUCCAGAAUGUAGUUGGGAGUAAGGGAGUCGAUGCGCCCUCCAAAUUCUGCUCUUGUUUCUGUGAAGUGCUACACAUUUUAAUGGGGAGUUUCAGUCUCCAUGUCACAGAAGCGGCAAGUUUGCGAGGGGGAAAACCCAUUAUAUAUGUAGGUGUUUCCCGAGCUUAUAGUAUCCUAUGUUUAUUAGACACUUGAAUCGUUUGGUGUUGGAGCCUCCCAAUGGGAAUUUACUUGGCGCUGUCAUCUCCGUCCCUUUUUUCCCCCGCCUGAAAAUCUCCCGGAUUGUAUGGAAACCCACAGCCACGAACGGUUCUGCGCCUAACAUUUUAAUUGCAGCUGCAGUUCGAGCUAAUUCGUCCGCGAGCCCGUUCCCUAAUAUCCCUUUAAGUCCCGGCAACCAGAUUGAUUGAAACCCUGUUAUACAUUGAUAGAUAGUUGAGUCUAUCUAUGCAUUCUCUGACCAAGUGGGACUUUGUUUCGUACGAGGUAAUAGCUUUAAGUGCCGCUUGGCUGUCACUCAUGAUGGCAAUAUGUUCUUAACGGCACCUUAGCACAUCGGUUAAUUGCAAACUAACGUUACAAGUAGUCCACGAAUCUGGUUUAUCUACAAGGACCUGGUAAAGCUUUAGUGGUCAUCCUUUCUAUAACUCUUUCAUCACGUCCCCUAUCCACAACAGUUUUUUUUUAGAGUUGGUGGUUCAGAGUUUUUUAUAGAGAAGAGGUCAGGUUAUCGAGCAGGUUGAUAUUAAACUUUAACAACGCUGCCCUUAACCCACUUCUUUAAGUAUACUGUAAUAUAUUUACAUAUUCAUAUUACACCAGUUUAUAGAAAUAAUAGGGGGAUUCUCAUGCCCUCGCAAAACCCUGCUAUGGGUUGUUCUCUUAUCUAGUAUUUUUGUAUUCCGCGCAAUCGUUCAAUCUUUCUGGAGCAAUAUAAUCCCCUAUUAUAUUAUCUUAAGUUUGUUAGAACAUUGGUAGCAAUCGUAAAACUAAUAAAGACAAAACUCAUAACUGCAGAGGACAACGACACAUGAAAUUAUAUGUGAAAGCGUUUGUGCUGAAGAAGCAAGCAACACAAAAUAGUUCGAUGAACUCAGAAGAUAUGAUGUACAAUACGAGUAUAUAAACGCAAAUACAAGAAUGACAAGAGUACUUUUGUCAGACGAAUAUUAAAGGAAUCGCAGCAGUGGGUAUGACACAACAUUAGGUGCAAGAGAAGGCAAUGAGUUUACAGUUAACCGCAGUUAGUCACCCCUGCGAUGAAGGUUUAUUCUUCCAUGUAAGUGAUUAUUGCGCACAGAAGUAUGUACGUUACUGCUCGAGACCGACCAGAUGAUUUUUGCACACAAGGAAGGAAUACACCGAAUAUCGAGAAUUAAAAAAAAAAUAAAAAAACUUUAAACCACACUAUUUUGUUAACCAUUCCACUUCGGAAUCCCUCGUCACAUGAAAUUAGAAAUCGGAAUAAACAAACGAGAAAACGCGUAUAAACUGUUUUCGCGAAUAGCGAUUUGCUUAAAAAGAGGUGACACGAAAACGCAACAAAACACGGAGCAGCGAAUAUGGAGAGAGCGAGUAACUAACUCACUAGCAAUUGUAAACAAAUACACAAAUCAAAUAAACAGAAGAAUAACAAAACACAGCAAAUAUUUAGCACACACAGCUUUAAUAAAGAAGAAGAGCAACAGAAGGCAGGUGGAAAAAAUUCAAUCGUAGCUCACUGUCUGAAACCUUACCAACUUAAGCGAAAUUUUUCAACUCUGCAAAGUUAACUGACUUCAUUAGAAAACACUUAAAUUCAGGCAGCGUCUACAAUGAACACGUUUACGAUGGCAGCAAAACACCAACUGUUCUGACGGUGCAGUUGAAAUCAGCUCGACUGUUGCUGUUCGCUGUUGAUGUUGAUGAAUGACAACAACAGUAGCGGCAACAACAAGAAAUAGUAAGUACAAAUGUGCGCCUUUGUUUAUCUGCGAGGCAACUCUAAAUGUAUAUGUACAUAUGUUUGUAUGUAUGUAUGUAUGUAUAUGCACACCCAAACAAAAAGCCACCACUGGCGUACUGAUGUCGAGCCAUUGACUAUACUAUACAAGGAGCAGCUGCAGAUACGUGCCAUAUAAAGAUGCAAUAGGUAUGUAUGUAUGGUAUUUUGUAUUCGUAGAUACAUGCAUGCAUACAUAUACAUAUACUUCUUCUGGUAUCAAUUCGCAAAUGUUGCAACGGAAAGUUCAGUUGUGGUCUCUGUGGUUAGCAUCUAGAGGCAAUGAGUUGACCGACAUGACCAGUCCAAUGCUGGCAAAUAUAAGUAUAAAUACACAAAUAAAAUAUAUAGGAAUAUGAGAACGAGUAGAACUAGUGUUCCAACGAACGAAUAUCAAUGUGGCUGCCCACAUGGAUAGCUAUAAUAUAUGUACAUAUGUACAUAUAUACUUUAUACAUAUAUAUGUGCUAUGUAUCUUGUAUUUACCAAUAUCACAAUCGUCGGCACAACCAGCUGAUGGACUGUCUGGAUGGCUGGUCGUACCGGUUUGUUUAUUUCUUCGUUCUUUUUCAAUGAUUGCGAAAGGUGUGUGUCUGCAGGUAGGUUUACUUCUUACUGGAUUCCAAUUGCAGAAGGUAAUUAAAUAAUCUACAAUUCUGCGUGAAAUGGAUAUGGAUUUGGAAAUUUUCCCAUUAAAGAGAAAUAUAACCAUUUGAAUAACCUUAUUCGAAGUGUCCUAUUAUAGGUUUGAGCCACUGUACAUAUACAUAUUGAAUGCAACAGGAAAUUUUUCAUUGGUAAAAGACUUAUCUGAGCUACUGUUGAUAUACGAACAACGCAUCACCAGUAACAGCACCACAAGAGUGUAGUAAACAAACAACACCCGUAUGUCAGGUAUGUACAUAUGUAUUAACUACAUAUCUGCAUAUAUACAACAGUAUGUAAAGACGAUGAACUUAGCAACAUAAACACGACACCAAACAAGCAAUACAAAGCGUUGCGAGUGCUAUUCUCCCACGACAUGCGCAACAUCAUAUGUCACCCCGUGAGCGCAAAUGCAAUUCGCAUCCAUAUACCGCAUAAGGGAUAUUAACCGUAAACGUGUUGAAGAUUUCAGUUGCAGUAAUGAGUACAACAACUUGAGCGAGGAAUAUAUAUGUACAUAAAUACUGCAAGACACCCUACAAGCGGUUUAAUCUAUUUUAAGUCAAACAUAAAGAGGGAGAAAAAUUCGGAAGAAAUAAGAGCAUAAGCUGGAGCGGCGAUUUAUUUUCUAAAAUAUGUAACAUAUGAAAAUUAAAUUUUUUGUAAACCUUAGAUUGGUUAUUACUGUAAGACCCCCCCAGGUAGAAAACACAGCGAACGAUCAAUAUAUCAUAAAAUUAAUAAUUGAACUUCACUGCUAUAAGGAAUCUUUUUAAAAUAAAUACAAGAGUACAAAGUAAGAUUUGUUCAAGUAAUGUGGGAGAUCUUAGGAUCAUAUUUUUUUCCAUUUCUACAUCUAUCUGUAUAUGUAGUAUAUAAGAUUUAAGUAUAGUAGUGUUCACAAUAAUAGCAGUGAUAUCCAGUAUUUUGCCGUAUACUAUAUAAAAUGAUUUAUACACCAUUCAGUUAAAAGGAAAAUGUAGAUUAUAUGCACUUAUUAUAUUUUAUAGUAACUAUAUCGUGUAAUUUAUAAUAAUAAUUUUAAAAAGGAAUUUUUUUGAACUUCGAAAUUAAAAAUUUCGAUUUUGGAGGCUAACUUCGAAAAUUGGAGAAUGCAAAGAGGUGGUUAGUGCAAUGCGGGGACUCUUUGCUUGCAGGACAUACAUAUGUAUAUUUGGUAUGUCCGGUUUUAGUCUGAAUAGGUUUAACCUGCUACAUUAUCCAGAAUGAAUUUGCGCGAGGGUUACUCAAGUUUCGCGAGGCAACUCGAGCUCUGUGUUAGCGAUGGGUGGUGUUUCAUCUCCAAGUACGCUAUUCACGGGGAGGGUCGAUGAAGGUCCUAAUGGCUUCUCUUUAAAUGACGUUUAAAUUCAAUUCUUUCCAUUAAAACACAUAUUCCAGAUAUUACCUUUAAGAAUAUUAAGAACCAUUUUGAUGUUUGCUAAUAACCGUAUGAAGUGGUCUAGUCAAAAUUUCGAAUUAUUUCAAAGAUGAAUAAGGGUAAACAUCUAUUGUCAAAUUGCUCCAAUGAGCUUCAGUAAUCUUCCGAUGUAGAAUACAAGCCGUUAUUGACCUUUACAAUUAUAUCGAAAUAUUUUAAUAUGUUUUAGAAUUAGAGGAAGAAAUUAUGCAUAAAUAGUCGAAACAAAUUAAUAGCACUUAUUUAUAGAAACUUAUUAUUUUCUAUAUUUACUAAACGAGCAAUGCUAUAAUUAUGACCAAAACUGCAUAUCUAUGUAUCUAUAUCCUCUCAUUUCGUACGAUACAUAUUCGACACGAAGUUUUUUCUCCACCAAAAUGAACUCAUUUACAUAAAAAAUAAUAUGUACGGAUCGGUCAUUUACAUGAAUAGUGUCAUAACUCAAAGAACACGAUUUUUGAGUUGAGUAUGAAGAAAUGUGCGCAAUUUUUUCGUCCAUAUUGUAUACAAAUUUCAUUCCGAUGUGUAGAAAAAUUAACCGUGAAAUAAGAAUGUGCCGUUAUUAAACUUGUUAUGUUGCAUGAUUUUUUAACCGCAAAAACGACACAUCUCAGUUGUGCCAAAAUUAGGCAUGUUUUCUUUUCAGAAAGAAUGACAUAUUUUGUGUUAGAACGAUAUUUGCGAAAACGGAAUUAAAGUUUUCAUGUUGCUUUUUUCGGCAAUAACGACACAUUUAACUUAUGACAGCGAAAUUGAUAUAUAUUUUUCACAAAUAACGGUAAAUUCAAAAGGGGUCACGCUUAUGCCUACGACAAAGUUUCAGUACACUUAUUUUAGUCCACUUAUGAUCAUCAUAUUAUUAAAGAUAUUGCCACUAUUUUUUUUUCAAUACACUUAUGGCAUUUUUCUAUAUUUGCUAAAUAAGAGACAAUUGAAAACUUUAAACCAUUCUCCUGAAAAAUCGACUUUUUGGACUUGUGACAUUAUUCAUGUAAAUGAGCGAUUUACAAAUACAUACAUAUAUAUAUAAAUCUAUGCAUGGACGUUAGCAUAUGGUGAUUGUGAGAGCCUUCGCAUUUCGUUAUUUAUUUAUUAAUAUAUAUUAUUU